Molecule: ribosomal RNA, 1111 nt
Filed under: uncultured bacterium
Lineage: Bacteria
Description: bacterial SSU rRNA
Rfam family: Bacterial small subunit ribosomal RNA
Source: RNAcentral
GUCGGAUUAGCUAGUUGGUGAGGUAAUGGCUCACCAAGGCAGCGAUCCGUAGCUGGUCUGAGAGGAUGAUCAGCCACAUCGGGACUGAGACACGGCCCGAACUCCUACGGGAGGCAGCAGUGGGGAAUAUUGGACAAUGGGGGCAACCCUGAUCCAGCCAUGCCGCGUGUGUGAAGAAGGCCCUCGGGUUGUAAAGCACUUUCAGCGAGGAAGAACGCCUAGUGGUUAAUACCCAUUAGGAAAGACAUCACUCGCAGAAGAAGCACCGGCUAACUCCGUGCCAGCAGCCGCGGUAAUACGGAGGGUGCAAGCGUUAAUCGGAAUUACUGGGCGUAAAGCGCGCGUAGGUGGCUUGAUAAGCCGGUUGUGAAAGCCCCGGGCUCAACCUGGGAACGGCAUCCGGAACUGUCAGGCUAGAGUGCAGGAGAGGAAGGUAGAAUUCCCGGUGUAGCGGUGAAAUGCGUAGAGAUCGGGAGGAAUACCAGUGGCGAAGGCGGCCUUCUGGACUGACACUGACACUGAGGUGCGAAAGCGUGGGUAGCAAACAGGAUUAGAUACCCUGGUAGUCCACGCCGUAAACGAUGUCGACCAGCCGUUGGGUGCCUAGCGCACUUUGUGGCGAAGUUAACGCGAUAAGUCGACCGCCUGGGGAGUACGGCCGCAAGGUUAAAACUCAAAUGAAUUGACGGGGGCCCGCACAAGCGGUGGAGCAUGUGGUUUAAUUCGAUGCAACGCGAAGAACCUUACCUACCCUUGACAUCGACAGAAGCCGAGAGAGAUCUUGGUGUGCCUUCGGGAACUGUCAGACAGGUGCUGCAUGGCUGUCGUCAGCUCGUGUUGUGAAAUGUUGGGUUAAGUCCCGUAACGAGCGCAACCCUUGUCCUUAUUUGCCAGCGCGUAAUGGCGGGAACUCUAAGGAGACUGCCGGUGACAAACCGGAGGAAGGUGGGGACGACGUCAAGUCAUCAUGGCCCUUACGGGUAGGGCUACACACGUGCUACAAUGGCCGGUACAAAGGGCAGCGAGCUCGCGAGAGUCAGCGAAUCCCUUAAAGCCGGUCUCAGUCCGGAUCGGAGUCUGCAACUCGACUCCGGAAGUCGGAAUCGCUAGU